This 220-nucleotide long non-coding RNA is filed under the name Elaeis guineensis (African oil palm). RNAcentral describes it as "long non-coding RNA (EGUI_LNC071771)". Lineage: Eukaryota; Viridiplantae; Streptophyta; Magnoliopsida; Arecales; Arecaceae. The record is from RNAcentral.
GGGCACCGAUGAUAUCUAUCCACUUGAUUGGAUCGUUAAACCCAAGCUCGAACCCAAGUCUAAGUCUAUCUCAACAUAAUCAUGCCUUCGAAUUAAUGAUACAUAUACAGUUGCAAGAACCACUAAACACAUGCUCCAAGCCCUAUUCUACCCUAGCUCAUUUCAAAUUGGAUGGAGAUGAAAGUGGCUCGACCAUGAUGUCGGUCAAGCUCGAUGUCGA